UUAGCGGCGGACGGGUGAGUAACACGUGGGUAAUCUGCCUUAUACAGGGGGAUAACAGUUAGAAAUGACUGCUAAUACCGCAUAAGCGCACGGGGACGCAUGUUUCUGCGUGAAAAACUCCGGUAGUAUAAGAUGAGCCCGCGUCUGAUUAGCUGGUUGGUGGGGUAACGGCCUACCAAGGCGACGAUCAGUAGCCGGCCUGAGAGGGUGAACGGCCACAUUGGGACUGAGACACGGCCCAAACUCCUACGGAAGGCAGCAG
RNAcentral lists this ribosomal RNA (262 nucleotides) under uncultured bacterium. Its description in RNAcentral is "partial 16S ribosomal RNA". It matches the Rfam family "Bacterial small subunit ribosomal RNA", at positions 92 to 354 of the family's 1533-position model. The record is from RNAcentral.